This 449-nucleotide ribosomal RNA is filed under the name uncultured bacterium. Its description in RNAcentral is "bacterial SSU rRNA". It matches the Rfam family "Bacterial small subunit ribosomal RNA", at positions 29 to 498 of the family's 1533-position model. The record is from RNAcentral.
AACGAACGCUGGCGGCGUGGAUAAGACAUGCAAGUCGAACGAGAGAAUUGCUAGCUUGCUAAUAAUUCUCUAGUGGCGCACGGGUGAGUAACACGUGAGUAACCUGCCCCCGAGAGCGGGAUAGCCCUGGGAAACUGGGAUUAAUACCGCAUAGAAUCGCAAGAUUAAAGCAGCAAUGCGCUUGGGGAUGGGCUCGCGGCCUAUUAGUUAGUUGGUGAGGUAACGGCUCACCAAGGCGAUGACGGGUAGCCGGUCUGAGAGGAUGUCCGGCCACACUGGAACUGAGACACGGUCCAGACACCUACGGGUGGCAGCAGUCGAGAAUCAUUCACAAUGGGGGAAACCCUGAUGGUGCGACGCCGCGUGGGGGAAUGAAGGUCUUCGGAUUGUAAACCCCUGUCAUGUGGGAGCAAAUUAAAAAGAUAGUACCACAAGAGGAAGAGACGGCU